Molecule: long non-coding RNA, 263 nt
Organism: Oncorhynchus keta (chum salmon)
Lineage: Eukaryota; Metazoa; Chordata; Actinopteri; Salmoniformes; Salmonidae
Exons: 3
Source: RefSeq, a predicted model, not a curated record
GGAGAUGGGGGUGUGAGCAGGUGGGUCUGGGCAGGGUUAUGUAGUUGAUGGGGGUGUGAGCAGGUGGGUCUGGAGAUGGGGGUGUGAGCAGGUGGGUCUGGGCAGGGUUAUGUAGUUGAUGGGGGUGUGAGCAGGUGGGUCUGGAGAUGGGGGUGUGAGCAGGUGGGUCUGGGCAGGGUUAUGUAGUUGAUGGGGGUGUGAGCAGGUGGGUCUGGAGAUGGGGGUGUGAGCAGGUGGGUCUGGGCAGGGUUAUGUAGUUGAUG